This 460-nucleotide ribosomal RNA is filed under the name uncultured bacterium. RNAcentral's name for it is "partial 16S ribosomal RNA". It matches the Rfam family "Bacterial small subunit ribosomal RNA", at positions 338 to 795 of the family's 1533-position model. The record is from RNAcentral.
CCUACGGGUGACUGCAGUGAGGAAUAUUGGUCAAUGGGCGGAAGCCUGAACCAGCCAAGUAGCGUGCAGGAUGACGGCCCUACGGGUUGUAAACUGCUUUUAUACGGGAAUAACGCGCCUUACGUGUAGGGCUUUGCAUGUACCGUAUGAAUAAGGACCGGCCAAUUCCGUGCCAGCAGCCGCGGUAAUACGGAAGGUCCGGGCGUUAUCCGGAUUUAUUGGGUUUAAAGGGAGCGUAGGCCGCAUGUCAAGCGUGCUGUGAAAUGUCCGGGCUCAACCCGGGCCUUGCAGCGGAAACUGGCGUGCGUGAGUGCGGGGGAGGCAGGCGGAAGUCGUGGUGUAGCGGUGAAAUGCUUAGAUAUGACGAAGAACCCCGAUUGCGAAGGCAGCUUGCUGCAGCGGAACUGACGCUGAGGCUCGAAAGCGUGGGUAUCGAACAGGAUUAGAUACCCGAGUAGUC